UAAAGUUGGCGAUUGGUGACAAAAAUUAUUUUGUAUUUCACUCCUGAAAAGAAAAAUAAAAUGAAAAGUUUUGUUGAGAGAGAGAGAGAGAGCUCUCUGAAGCAGAUAGAAGAAACGACAUAGUGGGAAGAAGUCGGCCGGAAGGGGAACGACGGAGAGAGAGACAAAAGAAAUGUACUCACAGUCUCAGCAAAGAAGAAAACACUCUCCCUUCAACCAGAUGAAACAAAUGGUGGAGAUUUACAUCAAACUUGCUGAACUAGAAUCAAAGAGAGAGGAUACAAACAAAAAAGUUACUCUGCCAAGAGAAAUUCAUAGUGUUCAACAGCUUGAACUUGUAAGUAUUCCACUAUGAUUAGGACUAUGAGUAUCAUUAUUUUGUUUCUACAAUGACUGCUGACCAUUGGUUGUUACUUUAAUAGCAUUCUCAUCAUGAAAAAUGGUAUUGAGGUGGGAUUGUUUUGAUGAUUCCAUAUGCCAGAAAUCAUAGCUUAGAUAUUAUCAAAAUUUCUAUUGAAUUUUUUAACAAUCAGGAUACCAGGAUACUCGAGAAAACCACACCAACGUGGUAGUUGAUACACAAUCCAGCUAUCAGGCUAUAUGUAACCAAACUUAUUUUUUAUUUCAAAAAUAAAAUUUUAAACCGUAAGUUUAUAGUUAGCUAUCUAAUGUAGUUCUUCCUUCCAGGCUUCAGAUUGCAUUGUAAAGUGACACAAAAUCCGUCAGUGGUAGGGUUUACAGAGGAUGCUCUUUUCUAAUUGGCACUCUUGAGUGACCUAAUGUGCAGAGUCUCACAUAACUUAGUCAAAUUGUUAAUCAGAUUCAUUGGCAUGCAAAUGUUUUCCACUCUCUUGAUAUUAAUUUUUAUAGGAGCUGUUAUAAUGCUUCAUGGUCUUAGGCUAUUCAAUAUGGUCAUGACUCAAAGGAGGAUGGUCCUCGACCCUCGGGCCACCAAUCGCGCAUUUCAAUGCGUGAUGGCCAAAGAGGCCAAGUUAUGUAUUUUAAUGUCAAAUGAAAUGCAAACCAAAUAAACACAUAAGGCCCAACCUCUAUCACUUGAUCAAGAGACAAGGCAUGCAUGCUCAAUGCAAUGCAACCUAGACAUGUGAGCUAAGUAUGCAAUCAUGAGCAUGAAAGCAAGUAACGUGUACUAAGAACACAACCUAAACAAACAAACAUGCAAGGCAUGUAACAACAUGUGCAAGCUAACAAGCAUGCAAUAUGCAAUGCGAACAUGCAAACAUGCAAGACACGCA
This is a non-coding RNA of Camellia sinensis, 1256 nucleotides long. NCBI's taxonomy places the organism in Eukaryota, Viridiplantae, Streptophyta, Magnoliopsida, Ericales, Theaceae. The record is from RefSeq and is a predicted model, not a curated record.